GGCUUGUUAGCUCAAUUGGUAGAGCGCUGCACUGGUAUCGCAGAGGUCAUGGGUUCAAAUCCCGUACGGGCCA
This 73-nucleotide transfer RNA is filed under the name Pocillopora damicornis (cauliflower coral). Its description in RNAcentral is "tRNA-Thr". It matches the Rfam family "tRNA". Rfam says of the family: Transfer RNA (tRNA) molecules are approximately 80 nucleotides in length. Their secondary structure includes four short double-helical elements and three loops (D, anti-codon, and T loops). Lineage: Eukaryota; Metazoa; Cnidaria; Anthozoa; Scleractinia; Pocilloporidae. The record is from Rfam by way of RNAcentral.